GACGAACUCUGGCGGCGUGCUUAACACAUGCAAGUCGAACGGAAAGGCCCUGCUUUUGUGGGGUGCUCGAGUGGUGAAUUGGUGAGUAACACGUGAGUAACCUGCCCUUGACUUUGGGAUAACUUCAGGAAACUGGGGCUAAUACCGGAUAGGAGCUCCUGCUGCAUGGUGGGGGUUGGAAAGUCUCGGCGGUUGGGGAUGGACUCGCGGCUCAUCAGCUUGUUGGUGGGGCAGCGGCUUACCAUUGCUUUGACGGGUAGCCGGCCUGAGAGGGUGACCGGCCACAUUGGGACUGAGAUACGGCCCAUACUCCUACGGGAGGCAGCCGUGGGGAAUAUUGUACAAUGGGCGGAAGCCUGAUGCAGCAACGUCGCGUGCGGGAUGACGGCCUUCGGGUUGUAAACCGCUUUCGCCUGUGACGAAUCGUGAGUGACGGCAAUGGGUAAAGAAGCACCGGCUAACUACUUGCCAGCAGCCGCGGUGAUACUAAGGGUACAAGCUUUGUCCGGAAUUUAUUGGGCGUAAAGGGGUCGUAGGGUGGUUGAUCGGCGUGAAAAGUGUAAUCCGUAGGGCUUGAACGUAGAGCGUCUUUUUGAUAAAGGUUGACUUGAGGAAAGUAGGGGAGAAUGAAAUUGCCCGGUGGAACGGUGGAAUGCGCAGAUAUCAGGAGGAACACCAGUGGCGAAGGCGGUUCUCUGGGCCUUUCCUGACGCUGAGGAGCGAAAGCGUGGGGAGCGAACAGGCUUAGAUACCCUGGUAGUCCACGCUGUAAACGGUGGGUACUAGGUGUGGGGUCCAUUCCACGGGUUCCGUGCCGUAGCUAACGCUUUAAGUACCCCGCCUGGGGAGUACGGCCGCAAGGCUAAAACUCAAAGGAAUUGACGGGGCCCCGCACAAGCGGCGGAGCAUGCGGAUUAAUUCGAUGCAACGCGUAGAACCUUACCUGGGUUUGACAUGGAUCGGGAGUGCUCAGAGAUGGGUGUGCCUCUUUUGGGGUCGGUUCACAGGUGGUGCAUGCCUGUCGUCAGCUCGUGUCGUGAGAUGUUGGGUUAAGUCCCGCAACGAGCGCAACCCUUGUUCACUGUUGCCAGCACGUUAUGGUGGGGACUCAGUGGAGACCGCCGGGGUCAACUCGGAGGAAGGUGGGGAUGACGUCAAAUCAUCAUGCCCCUUAUGUCCAGGGCUUCACGCAUGCUACAAUGGCUGGUACAGAGAGUGGCGAGCCUGUGAGGGUGAGCGAAUCUCGGAAAGCCGGUCUCAGUUCGGAUUGGGGUCUGCAACUCGACCUCAUGAAGUCGGAGUCGCUAGUAAUCGCAGAUCAGCAACGCUGCGGUGAAUCCGUUCCCGGGGCU
This 1352-nucleotide ribosomal RNA is filed under the name uncultured bacterium. RNAcentral's name for it is "bacterial SSU rRNA". It matches the Rfam family "Bacterial small subunit ribosomal RNA", at positions 28 to 1381 of the family's 1533-position model. The record is from RNAcentral.